This 164-nucleotide ribosomal RNA is filed under the name Pinanga chaiana. Its description in RNAcentral is "5.8S rRNA". It matches the Rfam family "5.8S ribosomal RNA". From Rfam's summary of the family: 5.8S ribosomal RNA (5.8S rRNA) is a component of the large subunit of the eukaryotic ribosome. The record is from RNAcentral. RNAcentral also lists the same sequence under 1 other name. Lineage: Eukaryota; Viridiplantae; Streptophyta; Magnoliopsida; Arecales; Arecaceae.
AUGAUGACUCUCGGCAACGGAUAUCUCGGCUCUCGCAUCGAUGAAGAACGUAGCGAAAUGCGAUACCUGGUGUGAAUUGCAGAAUCCCGUGAACCACCGAGUCUUUGAACGCAAGUUGCGCCCGAGGCCACCCGGCCGAGGGCACGCCUGCCUGGGCGUCACGC